CAUAUUACUGAACAAAAAUAAACGUGCUCGUUUUAGUUUUAAAAUUGAAAAAAAAUUUCAAGAUUUUCGUUAAUUGAAUAAGAAACAUGCUCAUUUUAGUUUUAAAAUUUGAAAAAAAAAUUUCGUAUUCUAAAUAUAAAUUUUGGCUAACCUUCGUAUAUCGUUUUAAUUCAUGGAACGUAAAAAUAAAUCGGAUUAUUUAUUAUAUACAGAUCAUAGAUAAACGAGUAUUAAGCAUAGAGAUAUUAAUAUCUCUAUGGUAUUAAGAGCGUACUCUUUACGUAUGAUCAAGGAUAUCGAUUCAGUUCUAUGGUUCAGAACAAUUAUUGACAGGUAAGCGAACAAGAAACUAGAAAUUCGUAGUUGAAUUUUUAAAUAUCGUAGUAGACUAUGCUGUUUAUUUGAAAAAGUUAGUUUAAUAUUAAAAGAUGGAAGACAAAGAUUUUGAAAUAUUGAUAAAAAUGACGAAAAAAUUUCAAGAUGAAACCCAAAAAGCAAAUAAAUUAUUGAUGAGUUCGAAAAAUACAUCGAAAACAAAUAACCAUGAAGAAGAAAUGUCUGAAGAUACGGAAUUGUUACAGUCUUCGACUAAAUAUACAGACGACGUUAAUAUACAAAAAAUGAAAGCGAUUAUUAGAAUUCAAACUUUGUCUUCUCUAAUAACUAGUCAUUUAUUACGAAAAUCGAAACGUUAAAAGUUUGUGUUCAGUUUUAUUGUAAGUGUAAAGUUGAAAUUUUUAGGUUAUGUUUUGAACAAUGUGUAGUGAGAUAAGUGAUAUAAACAUUCAAUUUAAUAUUAAAAGAAGUUGUAGGAGUUUCGUAACAAGACAGCCGGUGGUCUAGGAUUUGUUUAUCGUAUUUAACAGUUAACAGAACACCAUGCCAGUAGCAUUUUUAUCUCUUUGGGAAUAUAAACAAUACCGGCCUUCAUUCUUCAGUAGGUUCGUAACUGGUGCGUUAUAUUUAUCGAAAAUCCUUGGAUCGGAUUCCAUUUUCCCAGGGUUCUGCAUAUGGUUCACUAUUUAGAAACAGCGAGUGCUGAAGUAAAUGUUGACAAAAUAAUGUAAUUAAAAAAAAAUUCUUCAAAAUAAACUAUUCGGAAGA
Long non-coding RNA from Diorhabda sublineata, 1104 nucleotides. RefSeq lists it as uncharacterized. The record is from RefSeq and is a predicted model, not a curated record. NCBI's taxonomy places the organism in Eukaryota, Metazoa, Arthropoda, Insecta, Coleoptera, Chrysomelidae. The transcript has 2 exons.